CCAUUAAACAAUAACUCUUCAUUCCCUCCUUUUCCCAAACCCCAAUAACCUUUAUUUUACUUUCUAUCUUUGUGAAUUUGCCUUUUCUAGGUACCUCAUAUAAGGGGAGUCAUACAAUAUUUGAGUCUGGCUUAUUUCAGUGUUUUCAAGGUUCAUUCGUGUUAUAACAUGUGUCAGAAUUAAUUCCUUUUUAAGGCUGAAUAACAUUCCAUUGUAUGCACCCGCCACCACGCCUGGCCAAUUUUUUGUAUUUCUAGUAGAGAUGGCGUUUCACUGU
Molecule: long non-coding RNA, 277 nt
Filed under: Homo sapiens (human)
Lineage: Eukaryota; Metazoa; Chordata; Mammalia; Primates; Hominidae
Description: non-protein coding lnc-CTAGE1-4:1
Source: RNAcentral